This 407-nucleotide ribosomal RNA is filed under the name uncultured bacterium. RNAcentral's name for it is "partial 16S ribosomal RNA". It matches the Rfam family "Bacterial small subunit ribosomal RNA", at positions 30 to 526 of the family's 1533-position model. The record is from RNAcentral.
AUUGAACGCUGGCGGCAGGCCUAACACAUGCAAGUCGAGCGGAGCGGCGGUCGGGUGCGUAAUGCUUAGGAAUCUGCCCGGUAGUGGGGGAUAACGUCCGGAAAUGGGCGCUAAUACUGCUUCCUCUCAGAUGAGCCUAGGUCGGAUUAGCUAGUUGGUGGGGUAAAGGCCUACCAAGGCGACGAUCCGUAUCUGGUCUGUGAGGAUGAUCAGUCACACUGGAACUGAGACACGGUCCAGACUCCUACGGGAGGCAGCAGUGGGGAAUAUUGGACAAUGGGCGAAAGCCUGAUCCAGCCAUGCCGCGUGUGUGAAGAAGGUCUUCGGAUUGUAAAGCACUUUAAGUUGGGAGGCGUUACCAACAGAAUAAGCACCGGCUAACUUCGUGCCAGCAGCCGCGGUAAUAC